CACUCGUAGCGAGACUGCCGGUAAUAAACCGGAGGAAGUGGGGAUGACGUCAAAUCAUCAUGCCCCUUAUGACCUGGGCUACACACGUGCUACAAUGGUUGGUACAACGAGUUGCGAGUCGGUGACGGCGAGCUAAUCUCUUAAAGCCAAUCUCAGUUCGGAUUGUAGGCUGCAACUCGCCUACAUGAAGUCGGAAUCGCUAGUAAUCGCGGAUCAGCACGCCGCGGUGAAUACGUUCCCGGGCCUU
This 247-nucleotide ribosomal RNA is filed under the name uncultured Streptococcus sp. Its description in RNAcentral is "partial 16S ribosomal RNA". It matches the Rfam family "Bacterial small subunit ribosomal RNA", at positions 1136 to 1382 of the family's 1533-position model. The record is from RNAcentral. Lineage: Bacteria; Bacillati; Bacillota; Bacilli; Lactobacillales; Streptococcaceae.